GAUGAACGCUAGCGGCAGGCUUAACACAUGCAAGUCGAGGGGUAACAUUGUAGCUUGCUACAGAUGACGACCGGCGCACGGGUGCGUAACGCGUAUAGAACCUACCUUUUACAGAGGGAUAGCCCAGAGAAAUUUGGAUUAACACCUCAUAGUAUUAUAAGAUGGCAUCAUCUAAUAAUUAAAACUUCGGUGGUAAAAGAUGGCUAUGCGUUCUAUUAGCUAGAUGGUAAGGUAACGGCUUACCAUGGCAACGAUAGAUAGGGGUCCUGAGAGGGAGACCCCCCACACUGGUACUGAGACACGGACCAGACUCCUACGGGAGGCAGCAGUGAGGAAUAUUGGACAAUGGAGGCAACUCUGAUCCAGCCAUGCCGCGUGCAGGAAGACGGUCCUAUGGAUUGUAAACUGCUUUUAUAUAGGAAGAAACCUUUCCACGUGUGGAAAUCUGACGGUACUAUAUGAAUAAGCACCGGCUAACUCCGUGCCAGCAGCCGCGGUAAUACGGAGGGUGCAAGCGUUAUCCGGAAUCAUUGGGUUUAAAGGGUCCGUAGGCGGACUAAUAAGUCAGGGGUGAAAUACCACAGCUCAACUGUGGAACUGCCUUUGAUACUGUUAGUCUUGAAUUAUAUGGAAGUAGAUAGAAUGUGUAGUGUAGCGGUG
Molecule: ribosomal RNA, 660 nt
Filed under: Lutibacter sp.
Lineage: Bacteria; Pseudomonadati; Bacteroidota; Flavobacteriia; Flavobacteriales; Flavobacteriaceae
Description: bacterial SSU rRNA
Rfam family: Bacterial small subunit ribosomal RNA
Source: RNAcentral